RNAcentral lists this unclassified non-coding RNA (349 nucleotides) under Hevea brasiliensis (rubber tree). The record is from RNAcentral. Lineage: Eukaryota; Viridiplantae; Streptophyta; Magnoliopsida; Malpighiales; Euphorbiaceae.
GGAGAAGGUCACAAGGAAGAAUAUAAUACUUCUAUCAUUGAUCGAGCGGGGCAUUGAUCGAGUGGGGCAACCAUGCCACCAUCCUAACAUGAGGAUGAUAUGAAGAAGGUGUAAGAAAAUACACACAAGUUCAUAUAAAGAUACAUAAGGGAAUCGGGAGAUCAAUAUGCGAGAACCAGACAUGGUGGAGGAUUUGAAGAGGCACAAGAUGUUUGGGAGAGCUGUGUUCAACAUGGUAAAUAACUUGGAGAGGCACUUGAUAUUCCGGAGACAUUUGUUCAAUAGGAGGUGUUCGCGACAAAUCGAUGAGGACAUUGAUUGUCUAAGUGGGGGAGAAUGUAAGGGGGAC